GGGGAUAUAGCUCAGUUGGUGGAGUGCUAGUCUCAUAUGCACAAGGUUCUGGGUUCAAUACCCAGCACCACCA
RNAcentral lists this transfer RNA (73 nucleotides) under Ictidomys tridecemlineatus (thirteen-lined ground squirrel). RNAcentral describes it as "Spermophilus tridecemlineatus (thirteen-lined ground squirrel) tRNA". It matches the Rfam family "tRNA". Rfam says of the family: Transfer RNA (tRNA) molecules are approximately 80 nucleotides in length. Lineage: Eukaryota; Metazoa; Chordata; Mammalia; Rodentia; Sciuridae. The record is from Rfam by way of RNAcentral.